RNAcentral lists this ribosomal RNA (267 nucleotides) under uncultured bacterium. Its description in RNAcentral is "partial 16S ribosomal RNA". It matches the Rfam family "Bacterial small subunit ribosomal RNA", at positions 793 to 1055 of the family's 1533-position model. The record is from RNAcentral.
GUCCACGCCGUAAACGAUGAAUGCCAGCCGUUGGCGAGCUUGCUCGUCAGUGGCGCAGCUAACGCUUUAAGCAUUCCGCCUGGGGAGUACGGUCGCAAGAUUAAAACUCAAAGGAAUUGACGGGGGCCCCGCACAAGCGGUGGAGCAUGUGGUUUAAUUCGAAGCAACGCGCAGAACCUUACCAGCCUUUGACAUGUCCCGUAUGGGUGCCGGAGACGGCAUCCUUCAGUUCGGCUGGCGGGAACACAGGUGCUGCAUGGCUGUCGU